Struthio camelus australis is the source of this 1539-nucleotide non-coding RNA. NCBI's taxonomy places the organism in Eukaryota, Metazoa, Chordata, Aves, Struthioniformes, Struthionidae. The record is from RefSeq and is a predicted model, not a curated record.
CUGCCCUCAAGUCAUGAUUUUAGGAUACCACUCGUUAAGUGACAUGACCAAGAACUUAGGCUGACCUUCUGCUGAAACAUGAACAUCCUCAGAGAGAAGAGUCCUCUCCUCCACAGAAUCCUUGUCCACCUCCCGAGCAAUGUCCCACCUGGUCACUGGAUGAGGACUCCUUCUGUAGCCUCCAUCACUUCCAGAAAUACAGACAGCCUUUGGGAGAAUAAGUGUCAGCACCAAGAAAAUGGAGGGGAAAUAUAGAAGGACAUUGGAGAGGGAAGGGAGAAAGCACCUGGAAGGGAUCACAGCAGAACGUGGACUUCAUCCCACAAUCUUACACUGAAGGAAAAAGAGCUACAAAGAAUAAUGAUCCAUGAAUUCUAGAGAGGGACACAGUGCUUCAAAUUAAAUCAAUUAUUGUUGAAGUUUCUGGCAGGAGAAGUUUUGCUUUACUGCUUCUACGCAGCAAACCGCACAGAUGAACAGAACUGUUAUUACCUGUGAAAAAAUGUCGGGAGGAAGAUUCUCAGCCAUGAACAGGGCAAUUAAAACACGCGUUCAUUGGGCUCUAAAGUAGUCAAUUUCCUCUAAAAAGCGCAGAGGCCACCUCUACUAUUUUUUCAAAGACAGCUCGGCUAUUAGUUGCUAGGGUAACAAGACACAGGGUAGAAGUAAAGCCUGUCCACCCAGCACCGUAUCAGCGUGGUCUAUAGAUGAGAAAGAAUUACUAGUAACAACGUUCAGUUAUAGAUUAUUUUUAUUCGACUGCUACAAGAAGGACGGUUAAAAUACUGUAUAUGUCUACAAUUAAAAAGGUGCUGAUACUGUAGGGCUUUAAUUGGCUCUUCUGAGUAACGGAUGACACUAAACUAUUUAAGUAGCAAAUGCUUCUAAUCUCACCAAAAAGGGGAGAUGCUGCCUAAAACUUAUGGCACGUUGGUGGGAUCAGUGUAACGUACCGCGCUGUGUCAAUGUCACUUUCAUAAACUUUUGCUGAAGUGGUUUUCCUCCUGUAUGUUGAAUGAUGUUGUCAGGACUGCGAGUCGGGGGUACGGUGGAAUCGAGUCUACUUUACUUCCCUUGAUGAAAAGGUCGCUGCCACUUGUAAAUCUCUUUUACUCCCUGCACAGUUGUUAGCGUCAAAGUCUGUCAGCUCUGUGGGAUGUUAAAAUUAUACAACUGUGGUAGGAACAAGGAGCACCGAUUCCCAGGUGGUACGUCCCAAGAAAAAGCCUCUGAUCUUUGUGCAAAAGUUCUGCAGAAAGUUUUUCAUCUAGGAUUUUCGGCUCACUUCGGCUUGAUUGCAGAAAUAAACAACAUUUAUGUUUCACUGCCUCCCAGCUGGUGGGCCUUCCCUGAUGAUAGCUCAUCACAGGACCACUUAUUAUGUCUGUAGCCCACGGUUGCAAGUGAAACAAUUCCCUCUUCUUUAUUUUUUUAAGGAUAUAAGGGUUCCAAUUAGGGCACAAUUAAAAGCCGGCCUGCGUUAUGUUAUGUGAUUAUGUUUUGACAAAUCAUCACACUAGAUCAGCAUCACAAAUCCUC